This 253-nucleotide ribosomal RNA is filed under the name uncultured bacterium. Its description in RNAcentral is "partial 16S ribosomal RNA". It matches the Rfam family "Bacterial small subunit ribosomal RNA", at positions 524 to 776 of the family's 1533-position model. The record is from RNAcentral.
UACGUAGGUGGCAAGCGUUAUCCGGAUUUACUGGGUGUAAAGGGAGCGCAGGCGGUUCUGCAAGUCUGAUGUGAAAGCCCGGGGCUCAACCGCGGGACUGCAUUGGAAACUGCGGGACUGGAGUGUCGGAGGGGUAAGCGGAAUUCCUGGUGUAGCGGUGAAAUGCGUAGAUAUCAGGAGGAACACCGGUGGCGAAGGCGGCUUACUGGACGAUGACUGACGCUGAGGCUCAAAAGCGUGGGGAGCAAACAGG